CAGCCGCCACGGUAAUACGUAGGGCGCAAGCGUUGUCCGGAAUUAUUGGGCGUAAAGAGCUCGUAGGCGGUUUGUCGCGUCUGCUGUGAAAUCCCGAGGCUCAACCUCGGGCUUGCAGUGGGUACGGGCAGACUAGAGUGCGGUAGGGGAGAUUGGAAUUCCUGGUGUAGCGGUGGAAUGCGCAGAUAUCAGGAGGAACACCGAUGGCGAAGGCAGAUCUCUGGGCCGUAACUGACGCUGAGGUACGAAAGCAUGGGGAGCAAACAGGAUUAGAUACCCCUGUAGUCCCUGUCUCUUAUAC
RNAcentral lists this ribosomal RNA (301 nucleotides) under uncultured bacterium. RNAcentral's name for it is "partial 16S ribosomal RNA". It matches the Rfam family "Bacterial small subunit ribosomal RNA", at positions 509 to 807 of the family's 1533-position model. The record is from RNAcentral.